UCCCUGGUAGCUCAAUUGGCAGAGCGCCUGGCUGUUAACUAGGAUGUUGCAGGUUCGAGUCCUGCCCAGGGAGCCA
RNAcentral lists this transfer RNA (76 nucleotides) under Capsulimonadaceae bacterium. RNAcentral's name for it is "tRNA-Asn". It matches the Rfam family "tRNA". From Rfam's summary of the family: Transfer RNA (tRNA) molecules are approximately 80 nucleotides in length. Their secondary structure includes four short double-helical elements and three loops (D, anti-codon, and T loops). Lineage: Bacteria; Bacillati; Armatimonadota; Armatimonadia; Capsulimonadales; Capsulimonadaceae. The record is from RNAcentral.